RNAcentral lists this ribosomal RNA (899 nucleotides) under uncultured marine bacterium. RNAcentral describes it as "bacterial SSU rRNA". It matches the Rfam family "Bacterial small subunit ribosomal RNA", at positions 57 to 940 of the family's 1533-position model. The record is from RNAcentral.
GCAAGUCGAGCGCGAACGUGGCCUUCGGGUCACUAGUAGAGCGGCGGACGGGUGAGUAACACGUGGAUAACCUGCCUCGGAGUGGGGGACAACUUGGGGAAACCUGAGCUAAUACCGCAUAAUCUUGCGUCUCCUCGGAGAUGUAAGGAAAGGUGGCUUCGGCUGCCGCUCCUAGAGGGGUCCGCGGUUGAUUAGCUAGUUGGUGAGGUAAUGGCUCACCAAGGCUACAAUCAAUAGCCGGCCUGAGAGGGUGAACGGCCACACUGGAACUGAGACACGGUCCAGACUCCUACGGGAGGCAGCAGUGGGGAAUAUUGGACAAUGGGCGAAAGCCUGAUCCAGCAACGCCGCGUGGAGGAUGAAGGCCUUCGGGUUGUAAACUCCUGUCAGGUGGGGCGAAAAGGUUUCGGUUAAUAGCCGAAGCCGCUGACGGUACCACCAGAGGAAGCCCCGGCUAACUCCGUGCCAGCAGCCGCGGUAAUACGGAGGGGGCGAGCGUUAUUCGGAAUUAUUGGGCGUAAAGGGCGCGUAGGCGGCCUGCUAAGUCAGGGGUGAAAUCCCUCGGCUCAACCGAGGAACUGCCUCUGAAACUGGCAGGCUAGAGGCCGGGAGAGGGUGGUGGAAUUCCCAGUGUAGCGGUGAAAUGCGUAGAUAUUGGGAGGAACACCAGUGGCGAAGGCGGCCACCUGGACCGGUUCUGACGCUGAGGCGCGAAAGCGUGGGGAGCGAACAGGAUUAGAUACCCUGGCAGUCCACGCUGUAAACGUUGAGCACUCGGUGCUGCGGGUAUCGACCCCUGCAGUGCCUUAGGAAACCCGUUAAGUGCUCCGCCUGGGGAGUACGGUCGCAAGGCUGAAACUCAAAGGAAAUGACGGGGGCCCGCACAAGCGGUGGAGCAU